Non-coding RNA from Triticum urartu, 346 nucleotides. NCBI's taxonomy places the organism in Eukaryota, Viridiplantae, Streptophyta, Magnoliopsida, Poales, Poaceae. The record is from RefSeq and is a predicted model, not a curated record.
CCAGACCUCGGCGCAGGUUGCUCGGCGGUCGACGGGCAGACAUGGGCAGCGGGGAAGGGGAAGAGAAGCCCUUCAAUUUCCUCCAGAUCCUCUGCUGACGAUGGUCUAGCGGCACAUGGCGCCGGAGUUGAGCCUGGGCAUGAGGAGCUCGCCGCCAUUCCCCACGCCUUCCUCCUCUCGCCCCUCCCCUUCCAAACUCCCCACAGCGACGGCUAGCGACGAUUAUACUACUAUUGUGUUUGGGUGCCUAAUUGACUGAUUGCCCACCGUUGAAAAUUUUGUUUAUAUAUAUAAAAAUCUUGAAGGUGCCACAAACUGCCAAUAAUGAUGUUGAUUAUUCUCCAGU